GUUCUUGUCCAGGGAUUUUACGUUGUUAUUGAUCGUCAUUGUGAAACACGUAAUUGCUGAUUGCAAUCUGCCCUUUUCUACUCGUUUUCUUGCUCGCAAGGGUUUGAGAAAACAAUUUUUGAACUCUGAAAGCACUUCAG
RNAcentral lists this small nuclear RNA (140 nucleotides) under Naegleria gruberi. RNAcentral's name for it is "U4 spliceosomal RNA". It matches the Rfam family "U4 spliceosomal RNA". From Rfam's summary of the family: U4 small nuclear RNA (U4 snRNA) is a component of the major U2-dependent spliceosome. Lineage: Eukaryota; Heterolobosea; Eutetramitea; Acrasida; Naegleriidae. The record is from Rfam by way of RNAcentral.